Zootermopsis nevadensis is the source of this 783-nucleotide non-coding RNA. The record is from RefSeq and is a predicted model, not a curated record. NCBI's taxonomy places the organism in Eukaryota, Metazoa, Arthropoda, Insecta, Blattodea, Termopsidae.
AUCGCGGUACAAUCUAGCAACAGCUGAUGGUAUUAAACACUCGUACAAGACACUACCAAAACCUCAGUCGGUAACAACGUUAACUACCAACCAACUUAUUCGCACCAAAGAAAGAAUAAUUUUACAAAUCUGAAAAUGUCCUCUGCGAUAUUGUGACGUGUAACAACACAUGUCUCACUCGGAUCCACUGAAGAGCCUACAGGUUGCCAAAACCCAGGACAUAAAACCUUAAAUCUCACACAGUGAAACUCCAUGCACAAAAAAAACAACACUGCAUUCUGGUAGAAUCAGUCCUGAAGAUAGAGGCAGUAUGUUUCAUCAAAACACUGGGAUUGACCAGUCUACACUGCAUCAAAAGCAUCAUCCUCACUGCUGCAAAAACUGACACCUCACAUAUCUUCAGUCUGCUUAGUAAAACAUGGUUUUUAAUCUACCACUUCUGCAACUGUCCAAUAUGAACCAACUGCUAGUCAUUAACAAUGUUUGGUAACUUCUGGAAACAGGGAGCUAUAAUAACACAUACUUCAGUAGAGGAGUCAUAGAAGGGUGAACUAUUGGCAAUUCAUAUGUAACAGUACUGCAAAAAUGUCUUUUGUUCACAAAAACAAUUACUAAUUUGUACCAUAAAAGUUAAGUGCUUUUCCCAAAUGCACUUCAAGAUGAAAAACCUGUUGUUCAUAGCUCUUUACAUCAUUUAUAUUUACUGCUCUGGCACCACACCUCAAAAUCUUACAAACUUUGUAUUUUCUUGAAUAAAUAACAAUACACGUGAUACACACAGAA